RNAcentral lists this unclassified non-coding RNA (207 nucleotides) under Hevea brasiliensis (rubber tree). Lineage: Eukaryota; Viridiplantae; Streptophyta; Magnoliopsida; Malpighiales; Euphorbiaceae. The record is from RNAcentral.
CCCCCUUUGAUUUCCAAUUCUAUCUGCUAUAUUUUCCUCAUAAUAUGUGUUCAAAAACUAAAACCCAAAAAAAGUUAACUUAGCUAAGUAGCAAGAAUAAUUUCAUUUCCCUUUGAGGCUAUGUUAGUUGAAGCACUGUUUUGAUCCUCUGAAUUGUGCAUGAGAUCAGAUUAUUCACCGUCUCUACUGACUCCACUGUGAGCUUAG